AGUGGACGAGAAGUCUGCUCUCCACUCUCAACCCUUUCGAGGAGCGGCAGUGUGUUUGGGGCUUCUUUGUGCCCUCUUAGUUUCAGCCAUUAGAUUCCUCUGUGUCUACUUCAGCACUGCUCUCUCAGAGCACAACACAAAGUUGGUGGGGGAACUGGCGGCCAAUCAGGACCUAAUGAAUCUCAAUAGCAAUCUGAGUACAGCCAAUCACAUUUUGCAGAGUGAUUACACCAAUGUCAGCACUCCAAACCGACGUUUAGCGGCAGAGAAAGAACAUGUGUCAAGAGAGAGGGAUAGACUGAACUGGAAUCUUCAGUUCAUAUUUCAGUUUGAUGACUUUCCGGUCAAGAAAUAUUGUUCACAAAACGUUGGCUGAGGAGAGAGAGUGUGUAACUCUUGCCAAGAUGGCUGGAUUUUGUUCCAAUCUAGUUGUUACCUGAUUGUGCAAUAUGACCCUCCAUGGAAGACCUGGACAGAAAGCCAACAAUAUUGCAAACAAGAGAAUGCUGAUUUGCCCGCCAUUGGCAGCCGAGCAGAACAGGUGGGACACUGGUGCAAACAAGAGUUUAGAGCAGUGGUGUAAAGUACUUAAGUAAAAAUACUUUAAAAUACUACUUAAGUCGUUUACUUUGAGAUUUACUCCACUAC
Oncorhynchus tshawytscha (Chinook salmon) is the source of this 648-nucleotide long non-coding RNA. RefSeq lists it as uncharacterized. Lineage: Eukaryota; Metazoa; Chordata; Actinopteri; Salmoniformes; Salmonidae. The transcript is spliced from 3 exons. The record is from RefSeq and is a predicted model, not a curated record.